CACGGGGGGAGCAAGCGUUGUUCGGAAUCACUGGGCGUAAAGGGCGUGUAGGCGGUCAAGUAAGUGGAAUGUGAAAGCCCCCGGCUUACCCGGGGAUCUGCAUCCCAAACUGCUUGGCUUGAGUACGGGAGAGGAUAGGGGAAUUCCUGGUGUAGCGGUGAAAUGCGUAGAUAUCAGGAGGAACACCGGUGGCGAAGGCGGGAUCCUGGGCCAGUACUGACGCUGAGGAGCGAAAGCGUGGGGAGCAAACAGG
RNAcentral lists this ribosomal RNA (253 nucleotides) under uncultured bacterium. RNAcentral describes it as "partial 16S ribosomal RNA". It matches the Rfam family "Bacterial small subunit ribosomal RNA", at positions 524 to 776 of the family's 1533-position model. The record is from RNAcentral.